UAUUCAUUUACUCCCCAGCCUA
RNAcentral lists this microRNA (22 nucleotides) under Mus musculus (house mouse). RNAcentral describes it as "mmu-miR-664-3p". Its record names the gene mmu-miR-664-3p. Lineage: Eukaryota; Metazoa; Chordata; Mammalia; Rodentia; Muridae. RNAcentral also lists the same sequence under 1 other name. The record is from miRBase by way of RNAcentral.